Molecule: non-coding RNA, 25 nt
Filed under: Mus musculus (house mouse)
Lineage: Eukaryota; Metazoa; Chordata; Mammalia; Rodentia; Muridae
Source: RNAcentral
UGAACGACCAUGGAGCCCACUCUGU